CUGUGUUAUGGCAAAGUUACAGCUAUGUUGUGUUGGAGUGUGACAUUCAAAACAAGACAGGUAAGUACAAAUCCUUUAUUUAAAAUAUAAAAGAUAACAACAUGAAAAAUAUUUUCAUUACAGUCAUGCAUAAAACAGUUCCUCCUGUUCAAGGUCAACAUAGCAGAUCAUCUCCCUCCAGCUCCGUCUAUUCCCAGCAUGCUCCUCUGUCACACCAACACUGCAAGUCCUCCUGAUGGCUGACCCCAGGCUCUGCAUCUGCUCCCUACUGUCACCACAGAUCACAGUGUCAUCUGCAAACAUCAUAGUUCACAUAGACUCCUGCCUCAUCUCAUCAGUCACCCACAUCACCAUUGGAAACAAGAAGGGGCUCAGAGCUGAUCACUGAUGUAAUCUCAUCUCCUGAACCUACCUGUCAGUAAAACCUACGCCUCAGCACUGUCUCACAUCCUUAUGUCUCAUGACCUGGCCCAUCCUCACAUACUUCUCUAGAUCCUCUAGAUCCAAAAAUACUCAGUGAAACUCAUUCUGACCUUCUAUAUUCUUCUCUAUCAACACUCUCAAAGCAAACGUCACAUCUGUAUUCCUCUUUCUCAGAAUAAAGUCAUAUUCCUUACUGAUGAUCACUUCUCUUCUUAACUAGCUUCACAGUACAGGGCCCUUGGCAGCUCAUAGUCACUGAGUCAACCACAAACUCCUUUUUUUUACUGAAUUAUUUAAGCACCAUGAAUACAAAGUAGAAUAUUAGUGAAGUAAAAAUCAUUUUACCAUAAUUUUCACCAUCAUCAGUCUUCUGCCAAAUUAUUUUAAUGUUUCUACAGCUUUAGACAGAGCAGAGGAUGGGAUAUAGGAUAUAUGUCAGGUACAUUUUUUAAAAUAAGUUUACCAGAAGUUACAGAAGUGUAUACAUAGCAACUUUGUGUUACUCUGAGGCAUGUAUUUAUGUCUACGUCUGAGUUACAGCUGAUGGUUUUAGGUGAUCCUUGUUACACUGUAUUUAACUGCUGUUCAACUGUAUUCAGUUUAACAGUAAAAAAUGCCAUGCAUUUAAAGUGUGCAUGUAACUCACAUGGUAUAACGGCAAGAUAUAAAAUAUUAAAUUUUAGAUAUUUUAUUGCUAUAAAAAAUGCAUUUCAUUUCAGCAACACAUUGCAGAACAUUUUGGACAGCGGCAACAAACGAUUUGUAUUGUUUCUUAAAGUGCUUAAAACAAGAUAAACAUUUUACAUUGAGCUGUAUAAAACGUAUAUAAAGACCCUUAGAUGGAAGCUGAGUUUUAGAGAAGUAAAGAUGUGGAGGGGUCAUCAGUCUGUGAAAGAAACAUUUUGGGGGUUCAGUCAACUAAAGAUUCAGCGAAUCUAGAGAUUCUACACACAGAAUCCAUACAUGCAAAUUUAAACCCAGCAAACAUCUCCUAAUAUUGGUGUCUAUGGGGUGCAGAUUUAAUAAACUGAGGGAGUAAAAUUAAUACUUACACAAAGACACAUCGAUUUAUCUUCCAAAGAAUUAUUAAAUAAACAUGUAGAAAAU
This is a long non-coding RNA of Oreochromis aureus, 1530 nucleotides long. The record is from Ensembl. NCBI's taxonomy places the organism in Eukaryota, Metazoa, Chordata, Actinopteri, Cichliformes, Cichlidae.